RNAcentral lists this ribosomal RNA (1709 nucleotides) under Oleiphilus sp. HI0133. RNAcentral describes it as "bacterial LSU rRNA". It matches the Rfam family "Bacterial large subunit ribosomal RNA", at positions 765 to 2462 of the family's 2925-position model. Lineage: Bacteria; Pseudomonadati; Pseudomonadota; Gammaproteobacteria; Oceanospirillales; Oleiphilaceae. The record is from RNAcentral.
ACUGGAGGACCGAACCCACUGUCGUUGAAAAGCCAGGGGAUGACUUGUGGAUAGGAGUGAAAGGCUAAUCAAACUCGGAGAUAGCUGGUUCUCCUCGAAAGCUAUUUAGGUAGCGCCUCGUGUAUCACCAUAGGGGGUAGAGCACUGUUUGGGCUAGGGGGUCAUCCCGACUUACCAACCCCAUGCAAACUCCGAAUACCUAUGAGUGCGAGCACGGGAGACACACUGCGGGUGCUAACGUCCGUUGUGGAGAGGGCAACAACCCAGACCGCCAGCUAAGGUCCCAAAUUCAUAGUUAAGUGGGAAACGAUGUGGGAAGGCUUAGACAGCUAGGAGGUUGGCUUAGAAGCAGCCAUCCUUUAAAGAAAGCGUAAUAGCUCACUAGUCGAGUCGGCCUGCGCGGAAGAUUUAACGGGGCUCAAACUAUGAACCGAAGCUGCGGAUAUAGAUUUAUCUAUAUGGUAGAGGAGCGUUCUGUAAGCCGUUGAAGGUGAAUCGAGAGGUUUGCUGGAGGUAUCAGAAGUGCGAAUGCUGACAUGAGUAACGAUAAGGGGAGUGAAAAACUUCCCCGCCGGAAGACCAAGGGUUCCUGCGCAACGCUAAUCGGCGCAGGGUGAGUCGGCCCCUAAGGCGAGGCUGAGAAGCGUAGUCGAUGGGAAACAGGUUAAUAUUCCUGUACUUCUUUAUAUUGCGAUGGAGAGACGGAGAAAGCUAGGCCAGCAUGGCGAUGGUUGUCCAUGUUUAAGGUUGUAGGCUGGGGGAUUAGGCAAAUCCGGUCCCCUAAGGCUGAGAACUGAUGACGAGAUCCUACGGGAUUGAAGUGGUUGAUGCUCUGCUUCCAGGAAAAACUUCUAAGCUUCAGAUAUAAAGAAACCGUACCCCAAACCGACACAGGUGGUCAGGUAGAGAAUACCAAGGCGCUUGAGAGAACUCGGGUGAAGGAACUAGGCAAAAUGGUACCGUAACUUCGGGAGAAGGUACGCUGCUGCCGGUGAUGGGACUUGCUCCCUAAGCUAGCGGCAGUCGAAGAUACCAGUUAGCUGCGACUGUUUAUUAAAAACACAGCACUCUGCAAACUCGAAAGAGGACGUAUAGGGUGUGACACCUGCCCGGUGCCGGAAGGUUAAUUGAUGGGGUUAGCGUAUGCGAAGCUCUUGAUCGAAGCCCCGGUAAACGGCGGCCGUAACUAUAACGGUCCUAAGGUAGCGAAAUUCCUUGUCGGGUAAGUUCCGACCUGCACGAAUGGUGUAACGAUGGCUAAGCUGUCUCCACCCGAGACUCAGUGAAAUUGAAAUCGCUGUUAAGAUGCAGCGUAUCCGCGGCUAGACGGAAAGACCCCGUGAACCUUUACUACAGCUUCACAGUGAACUUUGAGCCUACUUGUGUAGGAUAGGUGGGAGGCUUUGAAACAUGCACGCCAGUGUGUGUGGAGCCAUCCUUGAAAUACCACCCUGGUAUGUUUGAGGUUCUAACUCAGGUCCAUUAUCUGGAUCGAGGACACUGUGUGGUGGGUAGUUUGACUGGGGCGGUCUCCUCCCAAAGAGUAACGGAGGAGCACGAAGGUGGGCUAAGCAUGGUCGGACAUCAUGCGGUUAGUGUAAUGGCAUAAGCCCGCUUAACUGCGAGACAGACACGUCGAGCAGGUACGAAAGUAGGUCAUAGUGAUCCGGUGGUUCUGUAUGGAAGGGCCAUCGCUCAACGGAUAAAAG